UACGUAGGUGACCAGCGUUGUCCGGAUUUACUGGGCGUAAAGAGCGCGCAGGCGGUCGUUCAAGUCGAGUGUGAAAGCCCCCGGCUCAACUGGGGAGGGUCACUCGAUACUGAUCGACUUGAAGGCAGGAGAGGGAAGCGGAAUUCCCGGUGUAGUGGUGAAAUGCGUAGAUAUCGGGAGGAACACCAGUGGCGAAGGCGGCUUCCUGGCCUGCUCUUGACGCUGAGGCGCGAAAGCUAGGGUAGCAAAUGGG
This 253-nucleotide ribosomal RNA is filed under the name uncultured bacterium. RNAcentral describes it as "partial 16S ribosomal RNA". It matches the Rfam family "Bacterial small subunit ribosomal RNA", at positions 524 to 776 of the family's 1533-position model. The record is from RNAcentral.